Molecule: non-coding RNA, 30 nt
Filed under: Mus musculus (house mouse)
Lineage: Eukaryota; Metazoa; Chordata; Mammalia; Rodentia; Muridae
Source: RNAcentral
UCCAACAUUAUGGUUCACAACUGUGGCUCC